Molecule: long non-coding RNA, 1602 nt
Filed under: Gallus gallus (chicken)
Lineage: Eukaryota; Metazoa; Chordata; Aves; Galliformes; Phasianidae
Description: lncRNA (ENSGALG00010003116.1)
Source: RNAcentral
CCCCUUCCCAGCCCUCAUUUAAGGGUUGGCAGUGGAAGCAAGAGUGUUUUGCUGGAGAUCCCUGUGUGCUUGAGGCCUUCUGAAGGAGUGAAUUCUUGAUCGCUCUCAAAGGGCCUGGAUACCACAGAGCCAUCAAAGGUCCUGAUUGCCCCCAACUCCAACAGGAGCUGCCCUAAAUGUCCACUGGAGGACCUAUGCCAAAACCAGACACGUUUAGAAGGGGAUUACUGCCUAUCCAUCUCUCCAAUUUGCUGAAGUGUCUCCUUGUUCCCAGAUUGCAGUGUCUGGGGUCCUUGGGGGUGCUCGGUGGGAUUUGUUGCGGUGCUUUGCAGCUGCCCUGCUUGGAUGAGGAGAGAUUUCUGCCUCUGUCCCCGUGUCUGCCCAUCAUGGAGGAGGUCCUGCCCUUUCCCAGCCCUGAUGCGAAGCUGCCUGAGCUUGUGCUGCCCUGAGAAUUCGUGCCUUUGCAUAUUUCAUUAAGGCUACUGGUGUCAUGAAAGUAAAAUGCAGCAAAAGGAGAAAGCUGAGUGGAGGGGGCAGAUGUGUAACAAGGCAAAAGGAGAAGCAAAAAGGAGAAAUCAUGUUAUUUUUGGAGUCACUUGUUAUUACAGAUUCCAUCCCAUGAUCAACAGAACCACAAAGGUUGGAAAAAACUAUUAAGAUCCCCAGCUCACCCCACACCAUACCUGCUACCCACAUCCAUCGAUGCCACAUCCCCAUGGCUCUGGAACACCUUCAGGGAUGGUGAUCACUCUCUGGGCAGCUGUGCCACUGCAUUUCCUCUCUUUUGGAGAAGAAAUGGUUCCUAAUAUCUGACCUGAACCUCCAAUGGUGCAACUUGAUGCCAUCACCUCUCAUUCUAUCACUGUUAUCUGCGAGCAGAGGCUGACCCCCACCUCGCUACACCCUCCUUUCAGAUACCUGAGCCCAGCAGAGCACUUUGCUGUCUGAAGCCUCUCCUUGCCACCCAUCAGGGCCAGCACACCUGCUUGCUCAUGGCACAGCUGCCAGUGCAGGACCAGGGACAUUCACCCCAGCACACAUCACUGGAGUUUCCAAAUCCUGUGUCCUUUAGGGGCUGAAGUACAGGAUGAGUCUGCUUGGCUGCAUCUGGAGAAGGAAACAUCACAAGCUAAGUGAUGAACUCCUUUUGUGGUGAAUAACACGAGGAUAGGAAGAGGUUUAUGCAGCAUAGAAGGGGUAAAAAGAAAAAGUCAUUUUCAAUCAGUGGCAGAAGAGUCCUUUCCCAUCUUGUGUUUUUCCAGUAACUAUGUGCAAUUUCUUAGAUGUCAGCCAAGGGAAAGUGGCAGCAUCAGCUCCUCAAAUAAAUACCCUCACCUUGCCCACUGUUAAAACUCAGACGAAUACGUGGAGCUGAACUAAAUGCAUGUGCUGAAUUAGCUUGACAUUAUUUUCACCUCCAGUUCCUGGGCAAGGUGCAGUUUUAUCUCGUUUUUGUUGCUGCAGUUUAGUCAGAAUUCUGGUUUUGAUGAGGAAGGGAAGAAAAAUGAUGUUUAUAGUUUGUUUUAUACAGAGCAGGUCCAGAGAAAAAAGGAAAAAAAAAGAAAAGGAAGAAAUGGAAGAGCUGCCACCAUUUAAUAAGUG